RNAcentral lists this ribosomal RNA (429 nucleotides) under Bacteroidota bacterium. RNAcentral's name for it is "Bacteroidetes bacterium partial 16S ribosomal RNA". It matches the Rfam family "Bacterial small subunit ribosomal RNA", at positions 355 to 776 of the family's 1533-position model. The record is from RNAcentral. Lineage: Bacteria; Pseudomonadati; Bacteroidota.
UAGGGAAUCUUCGGCAAUGGGGGGAACCCUGACCGAGCAACGCCGCGUGAGUGAAGAAGGUUUUCGGAUCGUACAGCUCUGUUGUUAAGGAAGAACGAGUGUGAGAAUGGAAAGUUCAUACUGUGACGGUACUUAACCAGAAAGGGACGGCUAACUACGUGCCAGCAGCCGCGGUAAUACGUAGGUCCCGAGCGUUGUCCGGAUUUAUUGGGCGUAAAGCGAGCGCAGGCGGUUAGAUAAGUCUGAAGUUAAAGGCAGUGGCUCAACCAUUGUAGGCUUUGGAAACUGUUUAACUUGAGUGCAGAAGGGGAGAGUGGAAUUCCAUGUGUAGCGGUGAAAUGCAUAGAUAUAUGGAGGAACACCGGUGGCGAAAGCGGCUCUCUGGUCUGUAACUGACGCUGAGGCUCGAAAGCGUGGGGAGCGAACAGG